GCACUGCUGACGAGUCCCAAACAGGACGAAAUCGCUGCCCAGUGC
RNAcentral lists this non-coding RNA (45 nucleotides) under Echinostoma caproni. The record is from RNAcentral. Lineage: Eukaryota; Metazoa; Platyhelminthes; Trematoda; Plagiorchiida; Echinostomatidae.